Molecule: long non-coding RNA, 678 nt
Filed under: Marmota monax (woodchuck)
Lineage: Eukaryota; Metazoa; Chordata; Mammalia; Rodentia; Sciuridae
Source: RNAcentral
GGCCCAGUUUUCUUUUAUUUUAAAAUAUAAAUUUCCACAAAUAAUAGAGUGACAGAAAGAAGGAUUAGAGUUUAGGAUUGCCAAAUAGAGAAUAAGUAAAUUGAAAUAAGUUAGCUUUCCCAUUGCAGGAUUUUUAUAUAAAAUUGAAGUUCUAGAUUUUUUGAAGUGCUAAUGGAAAUUUAAAAAAUAAAGGGUAAUGAUAGAAAUUUUUAGAAGAAUAAUUAUGAGAAAAGACCUUAACACUUUAUGAACAGAAUAAACUUAGGAAAUUGUUUCUUCAAUCAACGAGGUAUAAAUCCAAAAUUUUUAAAUCUACUUUUAUUGUUGUUGUUCUUUAGGUUCAAAUGCCUUCUGGACAUCUCCACUUUUUGCCAUUCAGUUCUGUUGUGUAAAAAUCUGUAUUUUUUCCAAUUAUAAUUUCUAGCAUGGAUCUGCUCAGAAAGUCUAUCCUUAUAAAAUAUAUAUAUUAUUUUAUAAUAUAUUUUAAUACUCUUUUGACUUAAUUUUUCACAUUUAAUAUAUUUUUACAUCUGGAAUUUAUUUUUGUGUUUGGGGAAAACUCUAAGGAUUUUUUUUCCUCUCUCUCUCUUUGGUACUGGGGAUUGAAUCCAAGGGUGUUCUACCACUGAGCUACAUUCUCAUGAAAAAUGUUUUCAUUUUUUAUUUCGAGGCAGGGUC